This 4677-nucleotide long non-coding RNA is filed under the name Manihot esculenta (cassava). RNAcentral describes it as "long non-coding RNA (MESC_LNC005191)". The record is from RNAcentral. Lineage: Eukaryota; Viridiplantae; Streptophyta; Magnoliopsida; Malpighiales; Euphorbiaceae.
CUCCAUAGCUCAUGUCAUUCAUAGCAUUUACAUUCUUAACAUACAUUCCCAUGGUCAUCUUAUCCAUCCUUCUAGCUAAGGCAUCAACAUGACAUUGAUCAUUGACAUGGCAUCAAUCUCAAACAUUCUAGCAGCUUUCUUAGCUUCACUCUUCACAUGAGCUCUUUCACUAUUCCACUGGUAGUUUUUGUAAGCUAUCUUGUCCAAGCAAGCAAAAGCAUCAUCUUCAGUUUUUCCCAUUAAAUCACCUUUUACAGCUUCAUCAAUCGCACUUCUCAAAUUUGGAGAAACGACAUUGUAAAAGUGUUGCACUAUCAUCCACUUUGGUAUACUAUGAUGAGGACACUUCCUUUGAAGUUCCUUAUCUCACUCCAAGCUUCAUAUAAAGACUCAUCCUCCCUUGGUGUGAAAGAAGUAAGCUCAGUUCUCAACUUAGCCAUCUUGCCUGGAAGUAGAUACUACUCAAUAAAAGCCUGUGACAACUGCUCUCAACUGGUAAUAGAUCCAAGUGGCAAAGCAUUGAGCCACUCUCUAGCUCUAUCUCUUAAUGAAAAUGGAAAAAUUCUCAAUCUGAUUGCAUCUUUAAAAACUCCAUUAAGCUUGAUCAUAUCACUUAUCUCCAUGAAAUUGCUCAAGUGUAGAUGUGGGUUCUCAGUAGAUUGCCCACUAAAAUGAGAUUGUUGUACCAUUUGAACUAAAGACGACUUUAACUCAAAAUUAUUUGCAUCAAUCCUCGGUCUCACUACACUAGGCCAAAAAUCACCAAAACUAAGAUAAGCAAGAUCUCGAAUUGUUCUAUUUUUUUUGUUGAGCCAUAGCUUCUACUUCUUGAGUAUCCUCCUCUUCUUCUUCCUAAAUUAUUUCUUCAAUGUAAAUUUGAUCUGUCUCAUAUAAAAGAAAAUAUCUGAAAAAAUUCAAAAAUAAAACAAGCAAGUAAAAAGAUAAUAAAAGAGAAAAAAAAUGUCUAAAUCAACUAAACAACCAAUCACCUAAUAUCAAAUAAAACUAAUUCUCCGGCAACUGCUUGGAUUAAUCAAUUUAAUACUAAAAUGUGCUAACUAAACUAAAAUGUGCAGCAAUUUAAUUAAAAUUAACAAAAGAGAUAACAAUGAAACUAAUUAAUUCUAUACUAGCAAGAGGAAAUAACUAGCAUUGGAAGUGAUUAAACUAAACAAUGGUAAAUUAACUAGAAAUUAACUAAAAUCAACAAUUAAUCAAGAUUAAAAUUCAAAUAUGGGAAGGCGAUUUCAGAAAUUCGAGCUUCACACUCUACUUGAUCUGAUUUUUUUCCAAUUUCUAUCAAUUAAUGAGUAUUCUAUUUCUUGAAGGAAUUAAUUCUACAAUCACCUUAGAUUACUUUUAUUUUAAUUGCUUUACACAUUACGUUUGCUGAUAAUCAAAAUAUUAAUAAAAUUAGUAUAAGUUUUUGGUACUCAAUCACAAUGCUCGUGGGAAUGAUAUCUUACUCAUCAUUAUAUUACUUGUUGCGAUUCCGUGUACAUGCGGAUUUUGCACACUGACGCGCCGCGAUCUGAAGAGGAAGAAGCUGGACGAUGCUGGCCGGCGCGAUCUAGUCAGGAAAGGGAGAAGAUGGUCGGCUCGCAAUUUGAAAGAAGAAAGGUUGUUCGGCGAUGGAGGGGUUGUUGACGCAUGCGAUGGGUGGAAGCGGGUUGACACUCCGCAAUCUAGUGGAAGUGAGGCUAACGGCGAUAGAGGUUGGUCGCCUAUCGCCAGUUCGACAGUGCCGCUUGGGUGUGGUGGUGGUCGACGGUGGAUAGGAAGGGAGAGAAGGGAAGAGAGAAAGAGAUGAGUGGCUGCUUUGAGGAAGAAGAAGAGAAAAGAAACUUUUUUUAGGUUUUUAUCUUUUUCUACUUAGGGAUUUUGAAAAUUUAAUUUACUUAAAAAAAAUUUUAAUAAAAACUCCUUUGAGUGCUCAGAAGAUUGCAUAAAACAUGGCACAAUUGUGCCAUAGCUUUUGCAAUCUACUGACCUAAUUUCCUAUUAUAUGGUAAAGUUUCCUUAAGGAGGUUAGAAGGCUGCAUAAGACACGACACAGUUGUGCCACUGCUUAUGCAACCUACUAACCUUGAAAUUUCUACUCUUUAAAAUGAAAGCAAAAAUAGAUGAAAUACAAGGGACUUUAACAAACAUUGAAAUAAAACGUUUUUCUCGUCAAAUUAACACAAAAAAAAAUCCUAAAAACUUAUUUGAACCCUUUAAACAUGAAUUAAAACCUUUAAAAUCAAUCAUUUCUCAUCCAAAUCCUCAAUAAUUAUACAUAAAUCAACACCUCAUCAAUCUCAAACUCAAUCAAAUAUCUACAAAUCAAUAUUUUCAAUCAUAUUCCUGCAAAAAAUGAAAGUUAAAGAAAACUUUUCUUUCUUCCUUCAGCGUUUCAUGAACCAUCUACAAGACAUCAAUUGACAGUUUCUUGAUAACAAUUAAGCUCAAUAUCGGCAAAUAAUAAUAGACAUUUCAAAUUCAAAAUUUGAGGAUUAUAAAACUCUAAAAGAGAAAUAAGCAAAAUAUAUAAUUAAAAUAUUAAAAGAUUGGGUUGCCUCCCAAUAAACGCUUGUUUUAAGUCACUAACUUGACCCCCUUCAAGAGGCUUUCAAGUGGAUCAAAUGUGUAAAAGUUGUCUCCUAUUUUUAUAGGUGCACCAAUGUAUUUGAAUUUCAGCUUCUUUUCAUUGCAUAUGAAAAUACCCUUUACUUUAUUAAGAACUCCUAUCACACCUUUAAGAGUAGACUUAGAAAAUUUUACUUUUUUGGACUUUUUAGCUUUAUGAGAAUAUAAAGAUUUAAACUUGACCUCUGGAACUCCUUUUUCACUCAAUGAAGAUGACCAAUCUUAUUCUUUUGUCCUCUCUUCAAAAUUUUGCUCUUGAAAGCAUAAAAUAUCAUUGUCAUCUUCAAACAAUCUUACAAAUGCAAUAGAAAUUUUAUCGUUUUCUAGCACAUCCACUCUAAGACAAGAACUUGAUGUAGCUAAUGUGUUGGGAGUUUUAGGUUCAAACAAAUUAAACUCAACCUUUUCUUUCCCAACCUUCAAUUUAAGCUUUACAUUCUUAACAUUAAUAAUUGCUUCUGCAAUAGCUAGGAAAGGUCUCCCAAAGAUAAUAGGAAUAUUAAUAUCUUUUUCCAUUUCCAAUACCACAAAGUUAACCGCAAUGAAAAUUUUAUCCACUUUUAAAGACACAUUCUCUAAAAUUCAUAUGGGAUACUUGAUUGACCUAUCCACUAGUUGUAAUGAUAUAGUAGUAGGUUUGAGCUCACUAAUCUUCAACUUCUCAAAGAUAGAUAGAGGCAAAAGACUUACACUUGCUCCCAAGUCACAUAAAGCAUUUCCAAUGUCGGUUUCACCAAUUUGGCAUGGGAUUGAGAAACUUCCCUAGUCUUUCAGCUUUGGAGGUAACUUAUUUUGCAACAAAGCACUACACUCCUCCAUUAAUGCCACAAUGUCAUACUCCUCUAAUCUCCUCUUGUUGGAUAGGAUUUCCUUUAAGAACUUGGCAUAUGAUGAUAUUUGAGACAAGGCAUCAAUGAAGGGUAUAUUGAUAUAGAGUUUCUUCAAAACUUCAAGGAACUUGCUAAAUUGCAUGUCUAGCUUAGCCUUUUGAAAUCUUUGUGAAAAAGGCAAAUGUGACUUAUAAGGCUUCGGUGGAAUAUAUCUUGCCUCUUCUCCUUUUUCAACUUCUUUUUCUUUCUCAGUCUCUAUUUUUUUUUCACUAACUCUGUCUUUCUUUUCCUUUAACUCAUCUUUCUUUUCUUCUUUCGAAUAAUCUUUUCUUUCACAUUUUUUCUCUCUGAACACACUUUUCUCUCUCAUCUUCUUUUUCUUUCUUCUCAUCCUCAUUUUUCUUUUCACUCUCAUCCCCAACAACUUUUUCACUUCUCAAAUGAACCAGCUUGCAUUCUCUUGGAUUCUCGAGUUGGCUAGGUAGCUUCCCUUGACCUUUGCUAAAAGAGCUUGCUCAUUGUGCAAUUUGAUUUUCAAGCAUCUUGCUGUGAGUUAACAAUUUCUCCAUCUUGGAAGUGAGGUGCUUGAUCAAUUCCUCUUCUUGUUGUUGUUGGAGUAGAAACUUAUCCAUCAUUGACUGUAUGGAAGUCUUUUGCUCAAAAAUGGGUUGAGAUUGCUAAAAAUUCAUGUCUUGAUUUCUUUCAACGUGGAACCCAAGUGGUCCCCUAUUUUGUGUUGGAGAAAGUGUAGUUGUGGAGGAGGAAAUUGCUAUUGAAAAUUCUAAUUUUGCUUUGGUUGUUCAGACCAAGAGAAGUUAGGAUGAUUCUUCCACCCUUGGUUGUAAGUGCUUGAGUAUGGAUUAUCCAUGUGUCCUUGCCCAUAGUUGUUGACGUAAUUAAUUUACUCAGCUGAAAAAUCUUGUCCUCAAAUUUGAUUGUCAUACCCAAAGCUUGCUCCAUAGCUCAAGUCAUUCAUAACAUUUACAUUCUUGGCUUCCAUUCCCAUAGUCAUCUUAUCCAUCCUUCUAGCUAAGACAUCAAACUUAACAUUGAUCAUUGAAAUGGCAUCAAUCUUAAACAUUCUAGCAGCUUUCUUAGCUUCACUCUUCACAUGUGCUCUUUCACUAUUCCACUGGUAGUUUUUGUAAGCUAUCUUGUCCAAGCAAGCAAAAGCACCAUCUCUAGUUUUUCCAAUUAAAUCACCUUUUACAUCUUCAUC